AGUGACGAUAGCCUAGGAGAUACACCUGUUCCCAUGCCGAACACAGAAGUUAAGCCCUAGCACGCCUGAUGUAGUUGGGG
This 80-nucleotide ribosomal RNA is filed under the name Streptococcus infantarius subsp. infantarius. The record is from RNAcentral. Lineage: Bacteria; Bacillati; Bacillota; Bacilli; Lactobacillales; Streptococcaceae.